Molecule: long non-coding RNA, 4376 nt
Organism: Pseudophryne corroboree (corroboree frog)
Lineage: Eukaryota; Metazoa; Chordata; Amphibia; Anura; Myobatrachidae
Exons: 5
Source: RefSeq, a predicted model, not a curated record
CGUCAAACACAGGCAGCCGGAAACGGAACAGGAGACAGCGUGGCCGGGCGGGCGUGAUUCACGGAGGUAACCCUCUCUAUUUAAGUUACGGCCCGACCGGAUGUGGCGCUGCAGAGCGCACGUCGUACUCACGAGACGUCACCGGAAGGCGCCGCGGUCAGCAUCCACGCUGUCUGAUUCACAUGGUGAUUUCAAGGUAUAAAGUUACGGCCCGACCGGAUGUGGCGCUGCAGAGCGCACGUCGUACUCACGUGACGUCACCGGAAGGCGCCGCGGUCAGCAUCCACGCUGUCUGAUUCACAUGGUGAUUUCAAGGUAUAAAGACAACCAUUAUUGGAGGAAUUAAUAUCAGUUGGCAGAGAAUUUACCAGUUAUCCUGAUAAAGGAGAUUAUGUGGCCACAAAAUUAGACCUGCCAGUGGCUGCCAUUCAAACAAGCUGUUGCCCAGUUAUAUUCCUUAUUCAACUGUCUAUUCUAUAGUGUCUAUAUCUGUUGCGAUAUCAUACCCCCCAACAUCUGGAGACGUUGGAGGAACUCCCUGUCGCGAUGAAGCAGCGCCGCGGUCGAAAAGUGUGUAGUCUACAGAAAAGGGGUGUGGCUUUGCUGGAGUGCUAUUUUCCAUCACUGUGGGGGCAUUUCAUGCCCGGCACUCUGUGAGCUGCUGGCCAUGCCCCCAGUCCCUCUGUUUCCCAUCUAUUCACUGGAGUGACAGGAGCCUCCCAACUGCCCAAGCCCCCCUUCCCCCCCCCCACAGCGGGACACUGUGGCCGGCCCACGGGUGGGACUGCGGGACUGUCACAAAAAAACUGAACUGUCGCGCGAAAAUCGGGACAGUUUUGAAGGAUUAUGCAUUAUAAAAGCUAUAACCAGCUGGCGUAUGUUAGCUGUGGAUGCGUUAACUUUCCUUCCACUGUUUCAGAAUUGACCAUCCAGAAGCGCAUCUGACUAAUAAUUAUAUAGCCAUCACGCCUUCAUUGAGACAUUAUCUCACUUAUAUCCCAUUUACAUACCGUUAAAUCCCGGGUUUUUGCACGUGAACACGCAUCAACCAGUGUGCAAACUACUAAGCCCAGGGUCCCUGACUCUGCUCUUUACCAGGGUCAGGGCUGAGACUUGGAGAUUUCCUGGCUUGCUAUAACUGGCAAAUUCCCAGUAGCAUGUCUGCCCCUGCAGUGCCGCUUACACGCAUAAUGCCCCCUGCAGUGCUGCUCACACGCAUAAUGUCCCCUGUAGUGCUGCUUACACACAUAAUGCCCCAUGCAGUGCCACUUACACACAUAAUGCCCCCAGUAGGACUUACCGCCAUACAUGCUCAUUGCCAGGGGUUUCUUGCUCGUUGCCAGGUGUUACAUGGUCAUUGCCAGGGGUUUCUUGCUCGUUGCCAGGUGUUACAUGCUCAUUGCCAGGGGUUUCUUGCUCGUUGCCAGGUGUUACAUGCUCAUUGCCAGGGGUUUUCUUGCUCAUUACCAGGGGUUACAUGCUCAUUGCCAGGGGUUACAUGCUCCUUGCCGGGGGUUACAUGCUCCUUCCCAGAUGUUUCUAUGCUCGUUGCCUGGGGUUACAUGAUUGUUGCCAAAAGGUAGGCGCACAGUGCGCCGGCACUCCCGGAAUCUGCACUUCCAGGUAGCGCUGGGCACACUGCGCUUCCCCUGACAGACGCUAGAGGUGAAAUAGUACCUGUAGCAUCUGUCUCCUCCAAGGCGGCAGCCAUUUUUGGAGGGGCGCAGGGUCAUGCCCUGCGGCACUGGUGGUAGGAUGAUGGUAUGGUGUACCGGCACCAUAUUUCUUGAUGGUAUGCCGUACCACCCUACUUUCAGCACUGGUAAGGUGCUGGCAACAGCAUUACCUAUAACCCAUCACCUGCUGCAGACUGUCCCUUCCAAACUGAAAAUUUUUGCAGAACACAAAUAUGACAAAUAUUGUUACAUGUAUAACACCUGGCAUAGUAAUUUUACCUACAGCAGCAACUUUACUCUUUCAAUAGGGAGCAACAGCAUUCUUGGAAAUAGCUGCUGCAAUCCCACCAGCUAAAAAGUCCAAAGUCACCUAUCCUGGGAGCAGGGGCGGAUCCAGAAGAAAAUGAAAGGGGGGGCACCAUAAUAGGGGAACAGUAAUAGUUAUAUUUACAUGCACCUAAGGCACGCGUGCUCCCAGAUAAGGAGUGUGGUUCUCCUUUUUGAAAAAAAAAAGAAGUGUCAGUGAUCGCGCUGAGCCCCCCAAAAAAGUGGGUCCCACGGAUCCCUCACUUUUAAAAAUUGGGGUCCUAUCAGUCCUUUUCUGGGUCCCAUCGGAAUGAAGGUUCAUAUUAAUCUUAUUAAUUAUUCAAAUAUAAAAACAGACUUGAUUUGGACACUACAAAAGUAUUGCGAGGGGGAGGAGGGGGUGACAAUGCUGCUGGGCUGUGUAGCAUGCAGGACACUGCACCAGAGCUGUAAGUAGACAUUUCAGUGCCCUUUGGCAGAAAGUAAAUUGGUGCUCCCCCUGCCAUAUUUCAAACCAAGGACAGUGCGCGCCGAAGGCGCGCACCAAAAAUUUUGGGGUGUGGCUUCAUGGGGAAAGAGCAUGGCCACAUAACAAUACCAAUUCACAUUACACCACACAGGUAGAGCAUGUCAUAUACACAUUGCACCAGGUAGAGCACGCUAUACACACUGCGCCAGGCAGAGCACCCUAUACACAUUGCGCCAGGUAGAGCACGUUACACACAUUGCACCAGGUAGAGCACGUUAUACACACUGCACCAGGUAGAGCACGUUAUAUACACACUGCACCAGGUAGAGCACGUUAUAUACACAUUGCACCAGGUAGAGCACGCUAUACACACAUUGCACCAGGUAGAGCACGCUAUACACACUGCGCCGGGUAGAGCACGUUAUACACAUUGUACCAGGUAGAGCACGUUAUACACACUGCACCAGGUAGAGCACGUUAUAUACACACUGCACCAGGUAGAGCACGUUAUAUACACAUUGCACCAGGUAGAGCACGCUAUACACACAUUGCACCAGGUAGAGCACGCUAUACACACUGCGCCGGGUAGAGCACGUUAUACACAUUGCGUCAGGUAGAGCACGUUACACACAUUGCACCAGGUAGAGCACGUUAUACACACUGCACCAGGUAGAGCACGUUAUAUACACACUGCACCAGGUAGAGCACGUUAUAUACACAUUGCACCAGGUAGAGCACGCUAUACACACAUUGCACCAGGUAGAGCACGCUAUACACACUGCGCCGGGUAGAGCACGUUAUACACAUUGCGCCAGGUAGAGCACGUUACACACAUUGCACCAGGUAGAGCACGUUAUACACACUGCACCAGGUAGAGCACCAUACACACACUGCACCAGGUAGAGCACGUUAUACACACUGCGCCAGGUAGAGCACGUUACACACACUGCACCAGGUAGAGCACGUUAUGCACACUGCGCCAGGUAGAGCACGUUACACACACUGCACCAGGUAGAGCACGUUAUACACACUGCGCCAGGUAGAGCAUGCUAUACACAUUGCACCAGGUAGAGCACGCUAUACACACUACGCCAGGUAGAGCACGCUAUACACACUGCACCAGGCAGAGCACGUUAUACACACUGCACCAGGUAGAGCACGUUACACACACUGCACCAGGUAGAGCACGUUAUACACACUGCACCAGGUAGAGCACGUUAUACACACUGCACCAGGUAGAGCACGUUGCACACACUGCACCAGGUAGAGCACGUUACACACACUGCACCAGGUAGAGCACGCUAUACACACUGCACCUGGUAGAGCACGCUACACACACUGCACCAGGUAGAGCACGUUAUACACACUGCGCCACGUAGAGCACGUUAUACACACUGCGCCAGGUAGAGCACGUUAUACACACUGCGCCAGGUAGAGCACGUUAUACACGCUGCGCCAGGUAGAGCACGUUAUACAGAUUGCGCCAGGUAGAACACUUUAUAUAGAUUGCGCCAGGUAGAACACGUUAUAUAGAUUGCGCCAGGUAGAAUACGUUCUAUAGAUUGCGCCAGGUAGAACACGUUAUACACACUGCACCAGGUAGAACACGUUACACACAUUGCACCAGUUAGUGUUCUAUACACAUUGCGACAGGUAGAGCAUGUUAUACACAUUUUAUAUGGUACUAGGGAGUAGCGACAUAUGUAGCAGGGAGAAGGGACAGAGAGAGGCACCAGGGAAUAGGGACAAAGGUAGCAGGGACAGAGAUAGGCACCAGGGAAUAGGGACAGAGAGAGCAAGGAGUAGGGACAGAGGCACCAGGGGGUAGGGACAGAGAGAGGCCCCAGGGGAUAGGGACAAAGGUAGCAAGGAGUAGGGACAGAGGCACCAGGGGGUAGGGACAAAGGUAGCAAGGAGUAGGGACA